UACGGAGGGGGCUAGCGUUGUUCGGAAUUACUGGGCGUAAAGCGCACGUAGGCGGCUUUGCAAGUCAGAGGUGAAAGCCCGGGGCUCAACCCCGGAAUUGCCUUUGAGACUGCAUCGCUAGAAUUGUGGAGAGGUAAGUGGAAUUCCGAGUGUAGAGGUGAAAUUCGUAGAUAUUCGGAAGAACACCAGUGGCGAAGGCGGCGACCUGGGCCAAUAUUGACGCUGAGGUGCGAAAGCGUGGGGAGCAAACAGG
This 253-nucleotide ribosomal RNA is filed under the name uncultured bacterium. Its description in RNAcentral is "partial 16S ribosomal RNA". It matches the Rfam family "Bacterial small subunit ribosomal RNA", at positions 524 to 776 of the family's 1533-position model. The record is from RNAcentral.